RNAcentral lists this long non-coding RNA (222 nucleotides) under Elaeis guineensis (African oil palm). RNAcentral's name for it is "long non-coding RNA (EGUI_LNC075088)". The record is from RNAcentral. Lineage: Eukaryota; Viridiplantae; Streptophyta; Magnoliopsida; Arecales; Arecaceae.
GAUAAAUUGGACAUAAUGAAAGAGAUAAAUAAGAGAUUAGAUGCUAUUGAAAUCCUUCAAUCUAUCCUAGAUACACCCGAGCAAACAUCAAAGAGAAAAAUGAUAGCCAUGAUAGGACAAGAUAGUAAUUCAGAAGAAUAGAAUAGUGAGGAGGAAUCAAGCAGAGACUUAGAAAUAAAUAAAAUCCUGAAUUGGAGAAGGCUCCAAAAACUAUAUUACCCA